RNAcentral lists this unclassified non-coding RNA (208 nucleotides) under soil metagenome. RNAcentral's name for it is "partial contains 5.8S ribosomal RNA, internal transcribed spacer 2, and large subunit ribosomal RNA". The record is from RNAcentral.
AACCAUUCUCACCUGCGGCUAGACCUGCGGAAGGAUCAUUACCGAGUUUACAACUCCCAAACCCCUGUGAACAUACCUAUACGUUGCCUCGGCGGAUCAGCCCGCGCCCUGUAAAAAGGGACGGCCCGCCCGAGGACCCUAAACUCUGUUUUUAGUGGAACUUCUGAGUAAAACAAACAAAUAAAUCAAAACUUUCAACAACGGAUCU